UACGUAGGUGGCGAGCGUUGUCCGGAAUUACUGGGUGUAAAGGGAGCGCAGGCGGGAAGCCAAGUCAGCUGUGAAAACUACGGGCUUAACUUGUAGACUGCAGUUGAAACUGGUUUUCUUGAGUGAAGUAGAGGUUGGCGGAAUUCCGAGUGUAGCGGUGAAAUGCGUAGAUAUUCGGAGGAACACCGGUGGCGAAGGCGGCCAACUGGGCUUUAACUGACGCUGAGGCUCGAAAGUGUGGGGAGCAAACAGG
Molecule: ribosomal RNA, 253 nt
Filed under: uncultured bacterium
Lineage: Bacteria
Description: partial 16S ribosomal RNA
Rfam family: Bacterial small subunit ribosomal RNA
Source: RNAcentral